RNAcentral lists this long non-coding RNA (1224 nucleotides) under Vombatus ursinus (common wombat). Its description in RNAcentral is "lncRNA (ENSVURG00010021219.1)". Lineage: Eukaryota; Metazoa; Chordata; Mammalia; Diprotodontia; Vombatidae. The record is from RNAcentral.
AUUUUAACUUUGCAUUUGCCAUUCCUAAUGGACUCCUUUCCCAGCUGCCAUUCUUUUUGUCUUCUACUACAGGGUGAUCUUGGUGCCAUUCCUGGGGCAGAGAUGCCCUGGGUGGUGGGCCACACUUUGGGUAUCACACUGUCAGAGUGUGUUAUUACCUCCUAUUUCAACACCUGUAAAACCAGCACCUCAGGUGGAUGAGUCAGAGGUGCCACAUGCCUUCUAUUCAGAGAGCUACUAUGUCUACACCGCAGGUUUCUUCUUGGGAUCUGAAGCAUGGAAAAGCAUUCCUUGCCAAAAGCAAUAGAGUGGAAAUUUGUGAGCCAUCCGAUCUCAUCUCAAUACUAUUGUCUGUUGGCUGGCUGGGCAGCACUGGCCAAGGUGCCUCAUCAGCCUGUGCCUUCCCUUGCCCAUCUGUGAAGCAGAGAGAAUAAUGCCAGCUUAGUUCAGGAGAACUUAGCAGAGAGAAGAGCGGAAAUCAUGUUUGCGGAGCAAGUGGUAAAUACAAAGUGUUAUCUGAACGCUGACUAAUAAGAAUGUUGGCCAACUUCCUGGUCUGUGAAAUAGGGUUAAUGAUACUCUGCCCCAUCAAAGCUCCAGGGGGUUGUGAGCCUUAAUGAAUACUUGCAGAGCAGCUGAAGACUGCCAAAUAAGAGGUUCUGCAAAAUCGUCUACUAGCGCUAUUAUUAAUGCUAACUUAUUUUGAACAGGAAAGAAACUAACCUUUUCAUCAUCCACUUAGCAACAAAUGGAGGACUCCCCCUAGUUUGUCCAUGCUGGGAAUUUGCUCUCUUCUAAAGACAUCCUUAGCCAGGCUUCUCCUGGUAGUUUUCAGCUAUCAACUCCAAAUGGAAUCCAGCUGACUCCAUUUGCUGCCAUUUUCCAGGAGGUAAGGAACGAAGACUGGAGGAUCACUUGUCAGCAAUGCUGUAAAAGGGAUUCGUGGUCAGGAAUGAUGGAUCGAACUAGAAGUUCUCUGAGAUCCUUUCUGGCUCUGAGAUUUGGUGACCCCAUAAUUCUGUGAAUUAUGAACUUGAACAACAUAAAGUUCAAGUAUAUUGAAGGCAAAAAGAUCCCAAGAACUUGUUAAAGAAAAAAAAGGACAUUGGCUUGGGAACCUGGGGGAGGGGGAAGGAGGAUGAAAGGGCUUGGGUCCUUGUCUCCCGGUGCCCCUGUCAAACCCUGACCAAAUCACAUAGUGACUUGGAUCUUAAUUAGAGACAA